RNAcentral lists this non-coding RNA (45 nucleotides) under Echinostoma caproni. Lineage: Eukaryota; Metazoa; Platyhelminthes; Trematoda; Plagiorchiida; Echinostomatidae. The record is from RNAcentral.
ACACUGCAGAUGAGACCGAACCAGGUCGAAACAGCUGUCCAGUGC